This 301-nucleotide ribosomal RNA is filed under the name uncultured bacterium. RNAcentral describes it as "partial 16S ribosomal RNA". It matches the Rfam family "Bacterial small subunit ribosomal RNA", at positions 509 to 807 of the family's 1533-position model. The record is from RNAcentral.
CAGCAGCCACGGUAAAACAGAGGGUGCGAGCGUUAAUCGGAUUUACUGGGCGUAAAGCGUGCGUAGGCGGCUUCUUAAGUCGGAUGUGAAAUCCCUGAGCUUAACUUAGGAAUUGCAUUCGAUACUGGGAAGCUAGAGUAUGGGAGAGGAUGGUAGAAUUCCAGGUGUAGCGGUGAAAUGCGUAGAGAUCUGGAGGAAUACCGAUGGCGAAGGCAGCCAUCUGGCCUAAUACUGACGCUGAGGUACGAAAGCAUGGGGAGCAAACAGGAUUAGAUACCCGUGUAGUCCCUGUCUCUUAUAC